GGGGGUGAUGGGUUUCGACUGGGGUACCGAAAUGAGAGAAGCUGGCCGAGGUCCUGGUUCCUCGUAAAACCACCGGGGCGUUUAAAAUAAACGCCAACGAUUACGCACUGGCCGCUUAAUUUAGUGGUCACGUCCCCUAAGAUUUGCUCAUGGUCUUAGGUGUGGCGUCGCGAGUGAGCUACCUCGCUCCCACUCCCGUAAGGGCGAGGGAAAAAAUGCGGGAUAGUUCUCAAGAGGUUCCCGCCCGUCGGAUUCUUGAGGGCGAAGUUUAAAGGCGGGAUACGCCCGUAGAUGCUCUCGUGGGAGUAUCUCAGGACCGGGGUUCGACUCCCCGCACCUCCACUA
RNAcentral lists this transfer-messenger RNA (345 nucleotides) under Actinomycetota (actinobacteria). RNAcentral describes it as "UBA9087 sp003491635 Standard tmRNA". It matches the Rfam family "transfer-messenger RNA". From Rfam's summary of the family: Bacterial tmRNA, also known as 10Sa RNA or SsrA, is named for its dual tRNA and mRNA-like properties. Its role is to liberate the mRNA from a stalled ribosome. The record is from RNAcentral. RNAcentral also lists the same sequence under 1 other name. Lineage: Bacteria; Bacillati.